Long non-coding RNA from Mastomys coucha (southern multimammate mouse), 1277 nucleotides. RefSeq lists it as uncharacterized. The record is from RefSeq and is a predicted model, not a curated record. NCBI's taxonomy places the organism in Eukaryota, Metazoa, Chordata, Mammalia, Rodentia, Muridae. The transcript has 3 exons.
AGUGGGCGGGGCUAGGGCGCGGCGCCUGCGCCUUGGAGCCGGGCUCUUCUGCAGCGUCUCAGCCGCAGCCCUGUCUCUAGCCCUGGAAAGGCAGUUUAGAGUGAGAAUGGGUACGUUUUACAUUACUCUGAGCCCGCACGCCUUGUCUCUGGGUCGUGACAAUGUUAGUAACAGCGGACGUGCCUAACGUUCCAGAAUAAUCUAGUGGUCCUGAGGAGACAGAGGUCUUUUCUGAGAGAGUUAAGAGGCAGUAGGGAGUCCAUUUGGAGUCUUGGCCACAGGAUUUGGGAGGAGUCCCCUCGCAGGUUCUCACAUGACAAAUAUCUGCCAUUGCACGGAUAUUACAAUCCCCAAAGGGAGCCUCGGCUUAGAGAACUGUAAGGUUCUUCAUUUCUGUAAUUCCCUGGCCCCAGCGGAGAAGAGAUACUCAACUUUUGUUCAAAGGGGGUGUGUAGUAUACGUGGAAAAGUGUCCCAACCGUCUCUAAGACGGACUAAAUGAGCUCACUUAUGGUGAUUCACUAAAUGAUAUACACUAAGGUACUUUUCUACAUCAGCACGGUAACUCCCAAAGGGGUGCGUGUGCGUUGCAAUAGCGGUGGGCACUAGGUUCAUUAGUAGCUAUAAAAAACAUUCUGGGUAGGAGGAAAUGGAGAUAGCCAGCACAGGCUUGCUGGAGUGUGGUGCUGGGCUUAAGUAAACAGCGAACAGAAAAUGCAGUGGGCUCCUGGUGGGAGGUACAGAGUGUGAAAUUGGCACUAGUUCUGAAGUACAUCAGAAGUGAAGUACUCCCAGAGAGAUAACAGAACUCUGCAUCGAAGAGGACUGGGAUAGUGAAGAAGAAUACCUAACAGGCCUUUGUGAGGUGGGAUGCGCUACCAGCUGCUCUGCCUCUGCAAGUCCCUCAACUGGUCUGUUUACCUCAUGGCUUCAGGAAAGUAAAGGCACUUUAGCUGUUACCGGCCCCUCCCCACAGAACCGUCGCGCCCCGUACACUUGCUCUGCAUCCAGAAGAAGUAGCUGUCUUUGACUGGACAUCAGUGUCUGGGGGAGUGAACGCAAGAGAGAUCAGAGCUCUUGGCUGGGCCCAGCUAUGGCGUGACCCACCUGACACCUCCUUCCUCUCAUUGGUAAAGCCGGGGCACUGAUGUCUACCUACCUCGUAUGGAUUAAAUAAGCCAACAGGAAAAGUCUAAGUGAGGACACUUCUAAGAGUCAACUUCUGUCACACUGGGGUCUGCUCAAAGCUAUGGGGCCUUUAAAUAUCUAUUUAACAUA